UACGGAGGGUGCGAGCGUUGUCCGGAUUUAUUGGGUUUAAAGGGUGCGUAGGCGGCUUUAUAAGUCUGGGGUGAAAGCGCGCUGCUCAACAGCGGAACUGCCCUGGAUACUGUAGAGCUUGAGGACAGACGAGGUUGGCGGAAUAGAAGAUGUAGCGGUGAAAUGCAUAGAUAUCUUCUAGAACCCCGAUUGCGAAGGCAGCUGACUAGACUGUAUCUGACGCUGAGGCACGAAAGCGUGGGGAGCGAAC
Molecule: ribosomal RNA, 250 nt
Filed under: uncultured Hymenobacter sp.
Lineage: Bacteria; Pseudomonadati; Bacteroidota; Cytophagia; Cytophagales; Hymenobacteraceae
Description: partial 16S ribosomal RNA
Rfam family: Bacterial small subunit ribosomal RNA
Source: RNAcentral